RNAcentral lists this ribosomal RNA (468 nucleotides) under uncultured bacterium. RNAcentral's name for it is "partial 16S ribosomal RNA". The stretch from base 49 to 468 matches the Rfam family "Bacterial small subunit ribosomal RNA", at positions 38 to 507 of the family's 1533-position model. The record is from RNAcentral.
GGGGGGGGGGGGGGGGGGGGGGGGGGGGGGGGGGGGGGGGGGGGAGGCGCCGGCGUGCUGGGGUGGGUGAGGGGCGCACGGGUGGGUGCGCCGGGCGCGGCCUGCGCCAGGCUCUGGAAUCCGCGCGUGCACCGGCGUCUACUGCUGUAUACGACGCUGGCGCGCAUGGGCGUGCUUUGGACAGUUUUUCGGUUUUGGAUGGUCUCGCGGGCUAUCAGCUUGUUGGUGAGGUAAUGGCUCACCAAGGCGACGACGGGUCGCCGGCCUGAGAGGGCGACCGGCCACACUGGGACUGAGACACGGCCCAGACUCCUACGGGAGGCAGCAGUGGGGAAUAUUGCACAAUGGGCGAAAGCCUGAUGCAGCGACGCCGCGUGAGGGAUGACGGCCUUCGGGUUGUAAACCUCUUUCAGCAGGGAAGAAGCGAAAGUGACGGUACCUGCAGAAGAAGCACCGGCUAACUACGUG